RNAcentral lists this unclassified non-coding RNA (185 nucleotides) under plant metagenome. Its description in RNAcentral is "partial contains small subunit ribosomal RNA and internal transcribed spacer 1". The record is from RNAcentral.
AAGUUGUAACAAGGUCUGCGUUGGUGAACCAGCGGAGGGAUCAUCACUGAGUACUACACUCUCUACCCUUUGUGAACUAUUAUACCUGUUGCUUCGGCGGCGCCGCAAGGGUGCCGCCGGUCUCAUCAGAAUCUCUGUUUUCGAACCCGACGAUACUUCUGAGUGUUCUUAGCGAACUGUCAAAA